GGUUCAGUGGCGUAAUGGUAUUGCACUCCACAUUCCUAUGUAGUUCACGGUAUGCUUUACAGAGAGUCUGGAGUUCAAUUCUCUGCUGAGCCA
Molecule: non-coding RNA, 93 nt
Organism: Mycena latifolia
Lineage: Eukaryota; Fungi; Basidiomycota; Agaricomycetes; Agaricales; Mycenaceae
Source: the annotation of a GenBank genome assembly